Molecule: ribosomal RNA, 467 nt
Filed under: uncultured bacterium
Lineage: Bacteria
Description: partial 16S ribosomal RNA
Rfam family: Bacterial small subunit ribosomal RNA
Source: RNAcentral
ACGAACGCUGGCGGCGUGCUUCGCACAUGCAAGUCGAACGGUGAAGCUCCAGCUUGCUGGAGUGGAUCAGUGGCGAACGGGUGAGUAACACGUGAGCAACCUGCCCCUGACUCUGGAAUAAGCGCUGGAAACGGCGUCUAAUACUGGAUACGAGAAGGGUCCGCAUGGGCACUUUCUGGAAAGUUUUUCGGUUGGGGAUGGGCUCGCGGCCUAUCAGCUUGUUGGUGAGGUAAUGGCUCACCAAGGCGACGACGGGUAGCCGGCCUGAGAGGGCGACCGGCCACACUGGGACUGAGACACGGCCCAGACUCCUACGGGAGGCAGCAGUGGGGAAUAUUGCACAAUGGGCGAAAGCCUGAUGCAGCGACGCCGCGUGAGGGAUGACGGCCUUCGGGUUGUAAACCUCUUUCAGCAGGGAAGAAGCGAAAGUGACGGUACCUGCAGAAGAAGCACCGGCUAACUACGUG